RNAcentral lists this ribosomal RNA (254 nucleotides) under uncultured bacterium. RNAcentral's name for it is "partial 16S ribosomal RNA". It matches the Rfam family "Bacterial small subunit ribosomal RNA", at positions 524 to 776 of the family's 1533-position model. The record is from RNAcentral.
UACGGGGGGAGCAAGCGUUGUUCGGAUUUACUGGGCGUAAAGGGCGCGUAGGCGGUCGUGACAAGUCACUUGUGAAAUCUCCGGGCUUAACUCGGAACGGUCAAGUGAUACUGUCGGACUAGAGUACAGAAGGGGCAACUGGAAUUCUCGGUGUAGAGGUGAAAUUCGUAGAUAUCGAGAGGAACACCGGUGGCGAAGGCGGCUAUCUGGACAGUGACUGACGCUGAGACGCGAAAGCGUGGGGAGCAAACAGG